AAACUAACAAGGAUUCCCCUAGUAACGGCGAGUGAAGAGGGAAGAGCCCAAGAUUGAAAGCUGGCGUCUUCGGCGUCCGCAUUGUAAUCUCAAGAAGUGUUUUCCGCUUCGGACCAAGCCUAAGUCCCCUGGAAAGGGGCAUCAUAGAGGGUGAUAAUCCCGUACAUGGCUUGGAGCGCCCGAGGCUUUGUGAUACGCUUUCUAAGAGUCGAGUUGUUUGGGAAUGCAGCUCAUAAUGGGUGGUAAAUGCCAUCUAAGGCUAAAUAUUGGGGAGAGACCGAUAGCGAACAAGUACAGUGAUGGAAAGAUGAAAAGAACUUUGAAAAGAGAGUUAAACAGUACGUGAAAUUGCCAAAAGGGAAGGGUAGGAGGUCAGAGAUGCGGCCUGGGAUUCAGCCUUGCUUUUGCUUGGUGUUUUUCCCAGAUUGCAGGCCAACGUCGGUUUUGGGCACUGGAGAAGGGUAGGAGGAACGUGGCACCCCUCGGGGUGUGUUAUAGCCUCCUACUGGAUACAGCGACCGAGACCGAGGACAGCAGCGUACUCGCAAGAGCGGGCCUUCGGGCACCUUUACGCUUAGGGCGUUGGCAUAAUGGCCCUCUACCACCCGUCUU
This 612-nucleotide ribosomal RNA is filed under the name Moesziomyces antarcticus. RNAcentral describes it as "partial large subunit ribosomal RNA". It matches the Rfam family "Eukaryotic large subunit ribosomal RNA", at positions 62 to 655 of the family's 3401-position model. The record is from RNAcentral. Lineage: Eukaryota; Fungi; Basidiomycota; Ustilaginomycetes; Ustilaginales; Ustilaginaceae.